UCAAGUGAAGAAGCGCAUACGGUGGAUGCCUUGGCAGUCAGAGGCGAUGAAAGACGUGGUAGCCUGCGAAAAGCUUCGGGGAGUCGGCAAACAGACUGUGAUCCGGAGAUGUCUGAAUGGGGGAACCCAGCCAUCAUAAGAUGGUUAUCUUACACUGAAUACAUAGGUGUAAGAGGCGAACCAGGGGAACUGAAACAUCUAAGUACCCUGAGGAAAAGAAAUCAACCGAGAUUCCCUUAGUAGUGGCGAGCGAACGGGGACCAGCCCUUAAGUUGUAUUGAGAUUAGCGGAACGCUCUGGAAAGGGCGGCCAUAGCGGGUGAUAGCCCUGUACGCGAAAAUCCCUUUGCAAUGAAAUCGAGUAGGACGGGGCACGAGAAACCUUGUCUGAAUAUGGGGGGACCAUCCUCCAAGGCUAAAUACUACUGACUGACCGAUAGUGAACCAGUACCGUGAGGGAAAGGCGAAAAGAACCGCGGAGAGCGGAGUGAAAUAGAUCCUGAAACCGUAUGCGUACAAGCAGUGGGAGCCCACUUUGUUGGGUGACUGCGUACCUUUUGUAUAAUGGGUCAGCGACUUAUUUUCAGUGGCGAGCUUAACCGAAUAGGGGAGGCGUAGCGAAAGCGAGUCUUAAUAGGGCGUCUAGUCGCUGGGAAUAGACCCGAAACCGGGCGAUCUAUCCAUGGGCAGGUUGAAGGUUGGGUAACACUAACUGGAGGACCGAACCGACUACCGUUGAAAAGUUAGCGGAUGACCUGUGGAUCGGAGUGAAAGGCUAAUCAAGCUCGGAGAUAGCUGGUUCUCCUCGAAAGCUAUUUAGGUAGCGCCUCAUGUAUCACUGUAGGGGGUAGAGCACUGUUUCGGCUAGGGGGUCAUCCCGACUUACCAAACCGAUGCAAACUCCGAAUACCUACAAGUGCCGAGCAUGGGAGACACACGGCGGGUGCUAACGUCCGUCGUGAAAAGGGAAACAACCCAGACCGUCAGCUAAGGUCCCAAAGUCAUGGUUAAGUGGGAAACGAUGUGGGAAGGCUUAGACAGCUAGGAGGUUGGCUUAGAAGCAGCCACCCUUUAAAGAAAGCGUAAUAGCUCACUAGUCGAGUCGGCCUGCGCGGAAGAUGUAACGGGGCUCAAACCAUGCACCGAAGCUACGGGUAUCAUCUUUUGAUGAUGCGGUAGAGGAGCGUUCUGUAAGCCUGUGAAGGUGAGUUGAGAAGCUUGCUGGAGGUAUCAGAAGUGCGAAUGCUGACAUGAGUAACGACAAUGGGUGUGAAAAACACCCACGCCGAAAGACCAAGGUUUCCUGCGCAACGUUAAUCGACGCAGGGUUAGUCGGUCCCUAAGGCGAGGCUGAAAAGCGUAGUCGAUGGAAAACAGGUUAAUAUUCCUGUACUUCUGGUUAUUGCGAUGGAGGGACGGAGAAGGCUAGGCCAGCCUGGCGUUGGUAGUCCAGGUUUAAGGUGGUAGGCUGAGAUCUUAGGUAAAUCCGGGAUCUUAAGGCCGAGAGCUGAUGACGAGUGUUCUUUUAGAACAUGAAGUGGUUGAUGCCAUGCUUCCAAGAAAAGCUUCUAAGCUUCAGGUAACCAGGAACCGUACCCCAAACCGACACAGGUGGUUGGGUAGAGAAUACCAAGGCGCUUGAGAGAACUCGGGUGAAGGAACUAGGCAAAAUGGCACCGUAACUUCGGGAGAAGGUGCGCCGGUGAGGGUGAAGCAUUUACUGCGUAAGCCCACGCCGGUCGAAGAUACCAGGCCGCUGCGACUGUUUAUUAAAAACACAGCACUCUGCAAACACGAAAGUGGACGUAUAGGGUGUGACGCCUGCCCGGUGCCGGAAGGUUAAUUGAUGGGGUUAGCGCAAGCGAAGCUCUUGAUCGAAGCCCCGGUAAACGGCGGCCGUAACUAUAACGGUCCUAAGGUAGCGAAAUUCCUUGUCGGGUAAGUUCCGACCUGCACGAAUGGCGUAACGAUGGCGGCGCUGUCUCCACCCGAGACUCAGUGAAAUUGAAAUCGCUGUGAAGAUGCAGUGUAUCCGCGGCUAGACGGAAAGACCCCGUGAACCUUUACUAUAGCUUUGCACUGGACUUUGAAUUUGCUUGUGUAGGAUAGGUGGGAGGCUUUGAAGCGUGGACGCCAGUGUGCGUGGAGCCAACCUUGAAAUACCACCCUGGCAACUUUGAGGUUCUAACUCAGGUCCGUUAUCCGGAUCGAGGACAGUGUAUGGUGGGUAGUUUGACUGGGGCGGUCUCCUCCUAAAGAGUAACGGAGGAGUACGAAGGUGCGCUCAGACCGGUCGGAAAUCGGUCGUAGAGUAUAAAGGCAAAAGCGCGCUUGACUGCGAGACAGACACGUCGAGCAGGUACGAAAGUAGGUCUUAGUGAUCCGGUGGUUCUGUAUGGAAGGGCCAUCGCUCAACGGAUAAAAGGUACUCCGGGGAUAACAGGCUGAUACCGCCCAAGAGUUCAUAUCGACGGCGGUGUUUGGCACCUCGAUGUCGGCUCAUCACAUCCUGGGGCUGAAGCCGGUCCCAAGGGUAUGGCUGUUCGCCAUUUAAAGUGGUACGCGAGCUGGGUUUAGAACGUCGUGAGACAGUUCGGUCCCUAUCUGCCGUGGACGUUUGAGAUUUGAGAGGGGCUGCUCCUAGUACGAGAGGACCGGAGUGGACGAACCUCUGGUGUUCCGGUUGUCACGCCAGUGGCAUUGCCGGGUAGCUAUGUUCGGAAAAGAUAACCGCUGAAAGCAUCUAAGCGGGAAACUUGCCUCAAGAUGAGAUCUCACUGGAACCUUGAGUUCCCUGAAGGGCCGUCGAAGACUACGACGUUGAUAGGUUGGGUGUGUAAGCGCUGUGAGGCGUUGAGCUAACCAAUACUAAUUGCCCGUGAGGCUUGACCAU
RNAcentral lists this ribosomal RNA (2892 nucleotides) under Pseudomonas syringae pv. maculicola. RNAcentral describes it as "bacterial LSU rRNA". It matches the Rfam family "Bacterial large subunit ribosomal RNA". Lineage: Bacteria; Pseudomonadati; Pseudomonadota; Gammaproteobacteria; Pseudomonadales; Pseudomonadaceae. The record is from RNAcentral.